CUACGGGACGCAGCAGUUAGGAAUAAUCUGCAAUGCGCGCAAGCGUGACAGUUUGAGCCAGAGUGCUUCUCAUUGAGAAGCUUUUGCCAAAUGUAAAAAGUUUGGCGAAUAAGGACUGGGUAAGACGAGUGCCAGCCGCCGCGGUAAUACUCGCGGUCCAAGCGCAGCCAUAAUUAUUGGGUCUAAAACAUCCGUAGCUUGCUUGGUAAGUUUCCUGUGAAAUCUUGUUUCUUAAGGGCAAGGCGAGCGGGAAGUACUGCUUAGCUAGAGGCCGGAAGACGUAGGAAGUACGUUCAAAGUAGCGGUAAAAUGUGUUAAUCUUGAACGGACUCACAACAGCGAAGGCAUCCUACGAGGACGGUUCUGACAGUAAGGGAUGAAGGCCAGGGGCGCAAAACGGAUUAGAUACCCCAGUAGUC
RNAcentral lists this ribosomal RNA (419 nucleotides) under uncultured archaeon. RNAcentral describes it as "partial 16S ribosomal RNA". It matches the Rfam family "Archaeal small subunit ribosomal RNA", at positions 323 to 746 of the family's 1478-position model. The record is from RNAcentral.